CCCCGGUAAACGGCGGCCGUAACUAUAACGGUCCUAAGGUAGCGAAAUUCCUUGUCGGGUAAGUUCCGACCUGCACGAAUGGCGUAAUGAUGGCCAGGCUGUCUCCACCCGAGACUCAGUGAAAUUGAACUCGCUGUGAAGAUGCAGUGUACCCGCGGCAAGACGGAAAGACCCCGUGAACCUUUACUAUAGCUUGACACUGAACAUUGAGCCUUGAUGUGUAGGAUAGGUGGGAGGCUUUGAAGUGUGGACGCCAGUCUGCAUGGAGCCGACCUUGAAAUACCACCCUUUAAUGUUUGAUGUUCUAACGUGGACCCGUAAUCCGGGUUGCGGACAGUGUCUGGUGGGUAGUUUGACUGGGGCGGUCUCCUCCUAAAGAGUAACGGAGGAGCACGAAGGUUGGCUAAUCCUGGUCGGACAUCAGGAGGUUAGUGCAAUGGCAUAAGCCAGCUUGACUGCGAGCGUGACGGCGCGAGCAGGUGCGAAAGCAGGUCAUAGUGAUCCGGUGGUUCUGAAUGGAAGGGCCAUCGCUCAACGGAUAAAAGGUACUCCGGGGAUAACAGGCUGAUACCGCCCAAGAGUUCAUAUCGACGGCGGUGUUUGGCACCUCGAUGUCGGCUCAUCACAUCCUGGGGCUGAAGUAGGUCCCAAGGGUAUGGCUGUUCGCCAUUUAAAGUGGUACGCGAGCUGGGUUUAGAACGUCGUGAGACAGUUCGGUCCCUAUCUGCCGUGGGCGCUGGAGAACUGAGGGGGGCUGCUCCUAGUACGAGAGGACCGGAGUGGACGCAUCACUGGUGUUCGGGUUGUCAUGCCAAUGGCACUGCCCGGUAGCUAAAUGCGGAAGAGAUAAGUGCUGAAAGCAUCUAAGCACGAAACUUGCCCCGAGAUGAGUUCUCCCUGAGACUUAGAGUCUCCUGAAGGAACGUUGAAGACGACGACGUUGAUAGGCCGGGUGUGUAAGCGCAGCGAUGCGUUGAGCUAACCGGUAC
This 989-nucleotide ribosomal RNA is filed under the name Salmonella enterica subsp. enterica. RNAcentral's name for it is "partial 23S ribosomal RNA". It matches the Rfam family "Bacterial large subunit ribosomal RNA", at positions 1918 to 2901 of the family's 2925-position model. Lineage: Bacteria; Pseudomonadati; Pseudomonadota; Gammaproteobacteria; Enterobacterales; Enterobacteriaceae. The record is from RNAcentral.